CCUUUGGCAGGGGGACAUUCCUAUCUUUGUCUGUUUGUGCAAUGUACCUACUCCUCUCUCCGAUGGCAUGGCAGGGAGUUCUCUUUCAACCAGGGGCUGUGCCACAGCAGUGCUGGAACAACAAUGGCUUUUUUAAAAGGUCAAGGAUGUUCAGCAGCAUGGCUUUCUAAAUGUGAGACAGAAUGAUCAGCAUGUUCCUUCAAAUCACUUCAGGGCAAGAGAAAAUUUGGAAUGUAAUAAUUUGGAAGUCUGAUGUUACUGUGUCGGUCAGGGACAAGUCCUGUGUUCUCAAGUGAACCACAGUAAGAAGCUGCAGAAUAU
This is a long non-coding RNA of Empidonax traillii (willow flycatcher), 321 nucleotides long. RefSeq lists it as uncharacterized. The record is from RefSeq and is a predicted model, not a curated record. Lineage: Eukaryota; Metazoa; Chordata; Aves; Passeriformes; Tyrannidae. The transcript has 3 exons.